CCUACGGGAGGCUGCAGUGGGGGAUAUUGCACAAUGGGGGGAACCCUGAUGCAGCGACGCCGCGUGAGUGAAGAAGUAUUUCUGUAUGUAAAGCUCUAUCAGCAGGGAAGAAGAACGACGGUACCGGACUAAGAAGCCCCGGCGAACUACGUGACAGCAGCCGCGGUCAGACGGAGGGGGCAAGCGUUAUCCGGAUUUACUGGGUGUAAAGGGAGCGGAGACGGCUGUGCAAGUCUGAAGUGAAAGCCCAGGGCUCAACCCUGGGACUGCUUUGGAAACUGUGGAGCUAGAGGGCUGGAGAGGUAAGUGGAAUUCCUAGUGUAGCGGUGAAAUGCGUAGAUAUUAGGAGGAACACCAGUGGCGAAGGCGGCUUACUGGACAGUAACUGACGUUGGGGCUCGAACGCGUGGGGAGCAAACAGGAUUAGAUACCCCUGUAGUC
Molecule: ribosomal RNA, 441 nt
Filed under: uncultured bacterium
Lineage: Bacteria
Description: partial 16S ribosomal RNA
Rfam family: Bacterial small subunit ribosomal RNA
Source: RNAcentral